AGCAGCCGCGGUAAUUCCAGCUCCAAUAGCGUAUAUUAAAGUUGUUGCAGUUAAAAAGCUCGUAGUUGAAUUUCGGGAUCAGUAUGUUGGUCGUGCUUCGGUACGUACUGUCAUUACUGGUUUCUACCUUCUGAAGAACCAUGAUGUCAUUAAUUUGGUGUCUUGGGGAAUCAGGACUGUUACUUUGAAAAAAUUAGAGUGUUUAAAGCAGGCUCGCGCUUGAAUACAUUAGCAUGGAAUAAUGAAAUAGGACGUUUGAUUCUAUUUUGUUGGUUUCUAGGAUCGACGUAAUGAUUAAUAGGGAUAGUUGGGGGCAUUAGUAUUCAAUUGUCAGAGGUGAAAUUCUUGGAUUUAUUGAAGACUAACUACUGCGAAAGCAUUUGCCAAGGAUGUUUUCAUUAAUCAAGAACGAAAGUUAGGGGAUCGAAGACGAUCAGAUACCGUCGUAGUCUUAACCAUAAACUAUGCCGACUAGGGAUCGGAUGAUGUUAUUUUUUAAUGACUC
This 505-nucleotide small RNA is filed under the name uncultured Glomus. Its description in RNAcentral is "SSU rRNA". It matches the Rfam family "Eukaryotic small subunit ribosomal RNA", at positions 569 to 1077 of the family's 1831-position model. The record is from RNAcentral. Lineage: Eukaryota; Fungi; Glomeromycota; Glomeromycetes; Glomerales; Glomeraceae.